GCCGCUGUAGCUCAGUGGUAGAGCGCACCCUUGGUAAGGGUGAGGUCACGGGUUCAAGUCCCGUCAGCGGCU
Molecule: transfer RNA, 72 nt
Filed under: Phycisphaerales bacterium
Lineage: Bacteria; Pseudomonadati; Planctomycetota; Phycisphaerae; Phycisphaerales
Also listed under: 2 other names
Description: tRNA-Thr
Rfam family: tRNA
About the family: Transfer RNA (tRNA) molecules are approximately 80 nucleotides in length. Their secondary structure includes four short double-helical elements and three loops (D, anti-codon, and T loops). Further hydrogen bonds mediate the characteristic L-shaped molecular structure. tRNAs have two regions of fundamental functional importance: the anti-codon, which is responsible for specific mRNA codon recognition, and the 3' end, to which the tRNAs corresponding amino acid is attached (by aminoacyl-tRNA synthetases). tRNAs cope with the degeneracy of the genetic code in two manners: having more than one tRNA (with a specific anti-codon) for a particular amino acid; and 'wobble' base-pairing, i.e. permitting non-standard base-pairing at the 3rd anti-codon position.
Source: RNAcentral